Molecule: long non-coding RNA, 1565 nt
Organism: Lagopus muta (rock ptarmigan)
Lineage: Eukaryota; Metazoa; Chordata; Aves; Galliformes; Phasianidae
Exons: 3
Source: RefSeq, a predicted model, not a curated record
CUUGGCUUUGCCCAGUAUGGUGUGGGGUUUGUUAAUUCUGUAUGUUCAACAAAUACCAUCUCCAAGCAAGAAAGGAGUUUCAGCAUGCUCUUCAAGUUAGGUUGCUGGAGGGAUGCCCUGAGUAAAGGACCUCCAGAUCUGCUCUGGACAGCACUUGGAAGAAUCUGCAGUUUCCCAUGUGCUGAUGUAACCUCAUGUCAUCUGCCACCCACUCGGCUGCCCUGCUGAGAUUUGUUCCAUUGCCUCCAAUUCUGUGUUUUAUCAGCUCUUUAAGCUGAAACUAAAAAACCCACACAUAAAGUAGUUAUUUUCGGAAGGGGAGACUGAUGGCUCUCUUUGUACAGAAACAUCUUACUUUCUCCUCAGCUCAUUUUAUAAAUUACUGCCUGCUCCAAACUGGACUGUUUAUCACUCUCAUCCUCAGCAGGGCUUUCUCAGCCCGUCGGCAGCUAUGUUUUGCCUUCCCAAUUUGUUUAGCCAAGAUUUAAGAUAGACAGAGACCGCUGCUCUUAUAAAUCCUGAUUUCAUUAGUGAUGAAGUGCCUGGCAAAAAGUCCCUGCGAUGGAUGCUCUGUGCUCCAUCUCCUGUGCAGCCUAACUAGGCCUCACACGGCGCGAUGAGCGCGGGAUGGCCAGAGCCCAGCGAUGCGCGAUAAUAAGAGCUAUGGAGAAAGUGGUCCCUGCGAGGCCUCAUUAUGGCUGUUUCUGGGGCUAAGUUACUGCUUCAGAGGGUGGAAAAGGCAUUUUUAUGGUGACUUCCCCAGAAUAAAAUGCAUCAUUUCUAUCUGGAUCUUUCGUUUCCAUUAUGUUAGUGCGGGUGUAAGACUUGCUAAUUGGUACACAACACAGUUUGUCAUACCUUUUGGAAACACAGCUUAACAUUGAGGCAUAACUGUCUCCAAUUAACUGAUGAAAAAUGACGUCUGUGUAAAUGUGCAGAGUGGAAUUUUCCUCAUCUGUCUGACUGUGGUAUUUCUCCUCGUGGCUUUCUUUCACGGAUGAGCUAAAAUUGAGAGAUGGAAUGAGUUUUAAAAACAAAACAAAUCAAACAGACGCUGUUGUUUGCACUAUGCAGAUAGAUGGGUUAGCGUGGCUCGUAUUCCAGUCGGAGUCUGGAAGUGGGGAAGAUGGAUGUUAUCUAUCCUAUUAACUGAAAAGUAACAUAAAUACUUCACAGAAAAGAGCUCCAACAGGAUGAAAGCAUCUCUUAGUAAAAUGAAACAUGCUUAUGGCCCUUUCUUAAGCUUUUUUCAGAAGUAGGAAUGGUUUUAUAACUGACUUCUUACAAUUUAAGAUUACACACUCUUAAGAGUGUAUGUACAUACAGACCAGGGUCUAUAAAAAAUAAGUUAUAAUGUGGGCAGUUAUGUAAGAUCAAGUAUUUAUUGUCAAUGGCUCUGGCUAACCUUAAGUGUCAUUUGCACAAAUUCUGAGUAGAAUCAGUUGAAUUCAGUGGUCAGAUACUUUUAAUGGCCUUCAAUCAAAGUAUAAAUUCAAACUCUGAAGACAAAGUCUGGCUGCCUGGGAAGAGCCACAAGAGCUGUAGUGCCAAAAACAGGUCUGAAA